AAGUAUGCAGCUUUGUGGCCUUAGUUUUGCAAAAACUAGUGAGAAAAGAAUUGUUUCCAUACUUU
Molecule: transfer RNA, 65 nt
Filed under: Rhodobothrium sp. DTJL-2012
Lineage: Eukaryota; Metazoa; Platyhelminthes; Cestoda; Rhinebothriidea; Rhinebothriidae
Description: tRNA-Cys
Source: RNAcentral